GAGAAGUGCUGACCACAGAGGAG
Molecule: non-coding RNA, 23 nt
Filed under: Rattus norvegicus (Norway rat)
Lineage: Eukaryota; Metazoa; Chordata; Mammalia; Rodentia; Muridae
Source: RNAcentral